RNAcentral lists this ribosomal RNA (431 nucleotides) under uncultured bacterium. Its description in RNAcentral is "partial 16S ribosomal RNA". It matches the Rfam family "Bacterial small subunit ribosomal RNA", at positions 338 to 795 of the family's 1533-position model. The record is from RNAcentral.
CCUACGGGAGGCAGCAGUGGGGAAUAUUGGACAAUGGGCGAAAGCCUGAUCCAGCCAUGCCGCGUGAGUGAUGAAGGCCCUAGGGUUGUAAAGCUCUUUCGUCAGGGACGCGGUACCUGAAGAAGAAGCCCCGGCUAACUUCGUGCCAGCAGCCGCGGUAAUACGAAGGGGGCUAGCGUUGUUCGGAAUCACUGGGCGUAAAGCGCACGUAGGUGGAUUGUUAAGUCAGGGGUGAAAUGCCAAGGCUCAACCUUGGAACUGCCCUUGAUACUGGCAAUCUCGAGUCCGGGAGAGGUGAGUGGAACUGCGAGUGUAGAGGUGAAAUUCGUAGAUAUUCGCAAGAACACCAGUGGCGAAGGCGGCUCACUGGCCGGACUGACACUGAGGUGCGAAAGCGUGGGGAGCAAACAGGAUUAGAUACCCUUGUAGUC